CAGCUCUUUCAGACCGAUUAUAACGAGAGAAGAGAGGGAGAGGGAGGAAGACAGAUUAAGCAGACUGAACACAACUGUUGUUUUAAUCCCCUGAGCGGAUAGAUUUAGAGGAAAAAAACUACUGGUUUGGAGAAGAGCAGCCAUAUUGCAUGGACCUUUGGUGGAAUAACAAGACUCAGAGGAGCAGGAAUACGCGGAGUUCAGGAGCAAACAUCCCGACUUCACGAUCCGUUCAGCAGCCCGGCUGACGCUACUUUUUCAGCACACUUUUCCGUUUAAUCUGACUUUCUCCUAUUUAUUAUUUAUUUAUUUUAUUUUUAAGAUAGUGUUAACCAAUUGAUUGAAAGAUGAAGGACCGACUGGAGCAACUAAAAGCGACAUGCGAUCAUGAUGAUGAGGAUGUUGAGAUCGCCGUGGACAAUGCUGCCUUUAUGGAUGAGUUCUUCACUCAGAUUGAAGACAUCAGGAACAGCAUUGAUAAGAUCGAUGAGAAUGUGGCCGAAGUGAAGAAACUAUACUCAGUUAUUCUCUCUGCACCAACAUCAGACCAAAAAACGCAGGAUGAUUUGGAGGCGAUUACUAACGAUAUCAAGAAAAUGGCAAACAAUGCUCGUAACAAACUGAAAACCAUUGAAAGGAAUCUCGAAACAGAAGAAGUAGAAAGAGUAUCGGCCGACGUGAGAAUACGCAAAUCACAGCAUGCCGUACUUUCCAGGAAGUUUGUUGAUGUGAUGACCAAAUACAAUGAAGCUCAGGUGGACUUCAGAGAGAAAAGCAAAGGUCGCAUUCAGAGACAAUUAGAGAUCACUGGUAAAGCCACAACUGACGAGGAGCUGGAGGAGAUGCUGGAGGGAGGAAACGCAGCCGUUUUCACAGCGGGGAUUGUGGAUUCGGGGAUCUCCAAACAAGCGCUGAGUGAGAUUGAAGCACGUCACAAAGACAUUGUGCGUCUGGAGAGCAGCAUAAAGGAACUGCACGACAUGUUUGUGGACAUCGCCAUGCUGGUGGAGAGCCAGGGUGGUAUGAUUGACAGGAUUGAAAGCAACAUGGACCAGUCAGUGGGUUUUGUCGAGCGGGCGGUUGCUGACACUAAAAAAGCCGCUAAAUUUCAGCAGGAGGCUCGACGUGUGAGUUCAUGAUCAAUAUCAGGCCCCGCCCUUUCAAUCCCACCCUGCCUCUCCUUACCGUGUCCAAACCUGCUGACGUCAUACAGUCACAUGCACACACACAAACAAACCCAGUGAUUAUUACUAAUCCUGAUACGCCCUGAAACUUCCUAUUAUGGGAUUUCAGUGUAUCUCGGGUAAUGAAAAAACAAUGUUAAGCCACAUGUGUUCACUUUUCAUGACAUAAUAAUAGCAGCAAAAUGUUUGACACAUUACACUCACACAGCUGAGAAAGACACAUUUUAACAGACUUGGUGUUAAAAUGUGAGGAAAAACUACCAUUUUGGUGCAAGUGAGAGCUUACAUUGGUUGAUCUGUCACCACCAUUCAUAAAGCAAGGGGUUUGUAACAAUUUUGGUCUUUUUCCAACUUUUAUUUAUACAGAUAAAAUCAUAGAAACAGUGUAUGUACAUAUGUAUAAACAUAUAAGAACUUGCUUCACCUCUGAAACUACUUCUCUUUAUAGUUAUUGUUCAGGUAUAACAAGAUUUUCAUAUUAAAAUUAAAGGAACACUCCACCCAAAAACGGAAACUGUCAUUAUUUACUCAUCCUGAUGUCAUUACAAACCUGUAUUACUUCUUUUCUUUUAUGGAACACAGUGUAAUAUAUUGUGAAGAAUGUUGGGAAACGAACAGCACUGGAUCUAUUGACUUUCAUUGUAUGGGCAAAAUGACAAAUCUUAAAUUCGCAAAUAUCUUUUUUAAGAAGAAAUAAAGUCAUACAGGAAGUAAAUGAUGACUUUUAUUCUGGGGUGAAUUGUGUACAUUUUUAGAUUUAGAUUUUUAUAUUAAAUUCUUAAAAGUAAUAAAAAUAUUCAAAAGUAACAGAAUUAGUCAAAACUGCAGCAAGUAAUGAUUACAGUGAAGACUUAUUGUACAUGGAAUAAAUUGACUAAGGCAGUGCAAAUUAGUGAGACUGAAUAUGUGUAGUAAACUGUGUAUCAGAGAGACAAAUUCUGAGAUUCCAAAAGGUUCAUCCGGAAAUAUGUUAAGAAAUAAUCUGGGAUGCAAAAGAUGAAAAUGAUAAGCAUGCCAUGGUGAAGAACAAGCUUUCUUUCUCCUUUCUUUCUUUCUUUCUUUUUCUUUCUUUCUUUCUUCCUUUCUUUUUUGUGGCUCUUUUUGACUGUAAAUGUUUACCAUAAAAUAGUUUUUUUUUUAAAUAUUCAACACUCUCAGAAAAAAAAAUGGUAUGAAAACUGUCACUGGGGUGGUACUUUUGUACCUUAUUUACCCCUAAAGAUACUUAACCCUUUAACUGUCACCGUCCGCUCUGUGGGACGCCUAAGUUUACUUCAACAUAUUACGAAUAAAUCCUAAUCUAAUCAUGACAAACAUUGUUGGGAAGGUCUAAGACUCCUAAAUAGAUAUUUUACCACUCUUUUGUGUUACAAAUUAUGUAGGAAAAGUAAUAGAUUAAUUUAUGACAAGAGUGCACCUCAAAAAUCUACAUCAUAAUAGGAGUUCUGAUCUUUGUCACAAAAAGACUUUCUUCGUUGCCUUUUUCCCUUUCACGCAAUAGAAAUCUUAAGAGAACUGAAAAAAUUAACUUAAAAUCUAAAAAUUCAUCCUUUGAAAACCAUUUUAAAAUCAGACAUUGCAUUACCAUGGAAAUUAUCCAUCAAAGUCAUAUCACAAAAUGUUUUCGUUCAUGAAUUAUAAAAAUGUAACUUUGGAUAGUGCAUUUUCAUGUCUAUGUUCAAGAUAGGGAGUGACAGUUAAAGGGUUAAAAGUAGCUUAAUGUACAUAUUAGUAGGGCUGCGCAAUUAAUCUAAUUUCUGGUCAUGAUUAUAAUUACAGAUGCCACAAUUACCUAAUUGUUUAAAGGCGUAAUUACAACAACAACAACAACAAAAAAUUCCACUUACAUUACUGUGCGUGCUUAAGAUGUCUGUUUUUUUUUUUUUUUUUUUUUUUCUACAGGUUAUCGUAAGGAAUUUUUCCAUUGUUUUAAUUUUAGUUUUGUAUAACAUUAUGUCAUGCAUUCUUUUACUUAUUUUAUUUAAAGAAGAAAUCAAAAUCAAUGUAUAGUUUGAGGCUUAAUGAAGAAAAGCAAGAAAAGCAAUACAAGUUUUUCAGAAGGAGUGUUUUCAGCUUAUUUUCAUAUAAAAAUGUGGCAUGCAGUUGCUUCAGACAAUAUUAUAAUGCUGUUCAAAACAUCAUUCAGUGUAUAUUGUGAUAAUCAUAAUAUACACUGAAUGAUGUUUUGAACAGCAUUAUUUGUAGCAAAUAAAUGCAGGCUCAUCAAGCCUGCAUUUAUUUGCUACAAAGUACAGCAAAAAUUUGAAAUAUGUUUACUAAUUAAAAUAACUGUUUUCUAUUUGAAUAUAUUUUAAAAUGUAAUUCAUUCCUAUGAUCAAAGCUAAAUGUGCAGCAUCAUUACUCCAGUCUUCAGUGUCACAUGAUCCUUUAGAAAUCAUUCUAAUAUGCUGAUUUGCUGCUCAAGAAACAUUUUUAUUAUUAUUGUCAAUAUUUAAAACUGUUGAGUACAGGAUUCUUUGAUGAAUAGAAAGAUCCAAAGAUCAGCUUUUGUAACAUUAUACACUAUACCAUACAAAAGCUUAAAUAUAAUUUUUUAUAACUUUAUCAAUACUUUUAUUUAACAAGAAUGCUUUAAAUUGGUGAUAAAGGCAUUUAUAAUGUUACAAAAGAUUUCUAUUUCAGAUAAAUGCUGUUCUUCUGAACUUUCUAUUCAUCAGAGAAACUUGAAAAAAUUCUACUCAGCUGUUUUCAACAUAAUAAUAAAUGUUUUUGAGCAGCAAAUCAGAAUAUUAGAAUGAUUUCUGAAGGAUCAUGUGACUGGAGUAAUGAUGCUAAAAAUUCAGCUUUGAAAUCACAGGAAUAAAUUACAUUUUAAAAUAUAUUCAUAGAAAACAGUUAUUUUAAAUAGUAAAAAUAUUUAAAAAUGUUACUGUUUUUGCUGUACUUUAAAUCAAAUAAACACAGGCCUGGUGAGCAGAAGAGACUUCUUUAAAAAACAUUAAAAAUCGUACUGUUCAAAAACUUUUGACUGGUAGUGUAAGUACCUCAAAUGUACAAAAUUAUAAGUAAACGGUAUAAUUGUAGCUGUAAAAAAAGCCUCAGUGACAGCUUUUGUACCUUUUUUCUAAAAGACAGAUUUUCCAUCAAAGAUCAUGUAUUUGGGCCAUGGAUGUUGUUUAUAUCUGAGUGAGAUAUUUACUUGCUACUCAAAUGUUAAAGCAGAUGCUAACAGUUGUUUUUAUAUGUCUGUUUCUUCACAGAAAACAAUUAUUAUAGUAUCUGUGGUUUUGGUGAUUUUGGCAAUUAUUGCUUUGAUAGUGGGUUUAUCUGUAGGUCUGAAUCGCUGAGAAGUCUAUGAAGAUGAUCAUUCUGGGUGUGAUUGUUGCUGUGGUGCUCGUCAUCAUCCUCAUCGUCAUCCUCACACA
Labeo rohita (rohu) is the source of this 4570-nucleotide RNA transcript. It is a transcript of the gene named syntaxin 3b, with no coding region annotated. The transcript has 10 exons. Lineage: Eukaryota; Metazoa; Chordata; Actinopteri; Cypriniformes; Cyprinidae. The record is from RefSeq and is a predicted model, not a curated record.